GGAAUUGCCAGCUGAUGAAGAGGAAUCAUCCGAAGAAGAAGAAUCAUCUGAUUCCACCGAAUCGGAAGAUGAAGAAACCGAGGAGGAAGAAACUGAGAAAAAACCCAAGACAAAAACAGUGAAGGAAACAACUUCUGAGUGGGAACUUUUGAAUGAUGUGAAGGCUAUUUGGCUUCGCAGUCCUAAAGAGAUCUCUGAUGAAGAAUACACAAAAUUUUACCACACAAUUGCUAAGGAUUUUAGUGAUGAGAAGCCACUGGCUUGGAGUCAUUUUGUUGCCGAGGGUGAUGUUGAGUUCAAGGCCCUACUGUUUAUACCUCCAAAAGCUCCCCAUGAUCUCUAUGAAAGCUACUACAACUCUCAAAAGUCCAACUUCAAGUUGUUUGUUCGCCG
RNAcentral lists this unclassified non-coding RNA (393 nucleotides) under Hevea brasiliensis (rubber tree). The record is from RNAcentral. Lineage: Eukaryota; Viridiplantae; Streptophyta; Magnoliopsida; Malpighiales; Euphorbiaceae.